AGCAAAUCCAAAGCAUCCCAUCAACCUGCCUGAGGGUUUCGAUUGGUCAGCCUGCCCCUGCAGGGAUCUAACAUCAUCCCUCAGAAAUGAUAAACAGUAACCAAUUAAUGCUUAUUCAACACGUUGAGAAUAUAAAGGGCUACAGAUGUGCUAACAGUCAUUAAUCUCAUCCUUUCCUAACUCAGGAAUGUAAGUCAAGUUAUGCUGAGGUCACAGUCUCACUAAUGGACCAGUGCCUCUUCCCCUCUGUGAAGACACAAGUGUGACCUCUAUCCCUAGGAAACUGUUCCAGACGGGAGCUCUCAGCAGGAAAUGUGGCCCUAUGUACAAUAAAGAAACAAAACAGCCUGUAAAACAGCACCUUUCUCCUUUUGCUUUUCUGAAAGUCAAAAGCUCUAUUGUUGGUUGGAAGCUACUU
Molecule: long non-coding RNA, 418 nt
Filed under: Phascolarctos cinereus (koala)
Lineage: Eukaryota; Metazoa; Chordata; Mammalia; Diprotodontia; Phascolarctidae
Description: lncRNA (ENSPCIG00000026086.2)
Source: RNAcentral